Molecule: transfer RNA, 57 nt
Filed under: Biomphalaria glabrata
Lineage: Eukaryota; Metazoa; Mollusca; Gastropoda; Planorbidae
Rfam family: tRNA
About the family: Transfer RNA (tRNA) molecules are approximately 80 nucleotides in length.
Source: Rfam by way of RNAcentral
UGGCUGAGUGGUAAGGCACUUGGCUUCCUAACCAAGAGUUCCAGGUUCGAAUCCUGG